RNAcentral lists this small nuclear RNA (107 nucleotides) under Phocoena sinus (vaquita). The record is from RNAcentral. Lineage: Eukaryota; Metazoa; Chordata; Mammalia; Artiodactyla; Phocoenidae. RNAcentral also lists the same sequence under 1 other name.
GCACUGGCUUCAGCAGCACAUAUACUAAAAUUGGAACAAUACAGAGAAGAUUAGCACGGCCCCUGCUCAAGGACGACAUGCAAAUUCGUGAAGCAUUCCAUAUUUUU